This 891-nucleotide ribosomal RNA is filed under the name uncultured organism. RNAcentral's name for it is "SSU rRNA". It matches the Rfam family "Bacterial small subunit ribosomal RNA", at positions 505 to 1395 of the family's 1533-position model. The record is from RNAcentral.
GUGCCAGCAGCCGCGGUAACACGUAGGGGGCAAGCGUUGUCCGGAAUGAUUGGGCGUAAAGGGCGCGCAGGCGGCCUCUUAAGCCUGAUGUGAAAGCCCACGGCUUAACCGUGGAGGGACAUUGGAAACUGGGGGGCUUGAGUGCAGGAGAGGGGAGUGGAAUUCCACGUGUAGCGGUGAAAUGCGUAGAGAUGUGGAGGAACACCAGUGGCGAAGGCGGCUCUCUGGCCUGUGACUGACGCUGAGGCGCGAAAGCGUGGGGAGCGAACAGGAUUAGAUACCCUGGUAGUCCACGCCCCCAAAAAGGGGUGCUAGGUGUUAGGGGGGGAGCACCCCUUAGUGCUGAAAGUCAACACAAUAAGCACUCCGCCUGGGGAGUACGACCGCAAGGUUGAAACUCAAAGGAAUUGACGGGGGCCCGCACAAGCAGUGGAGCAUGUGGUUUAAUUCGAAGCAACGCGAAGAACCUUACCAGGUCUUGACAUCCCUCUGACGGGUUCAGGGAUGGACCGUUCCUUCGGGACAGAGGAGACAGGUGGUGCAUGGUUGUCGUCAGCUCGUGUCGUGAGAUGUUGGGUUAAGUCCCGCAACGAGCGCAACCCUUGACCUUUGUUGCCAGCAUUAAGUUGGGCACUCAGAGGUGACUGCCGGUGACAAACCGGAGGAAGGUGGGGAUGACGUCAAAUCAUCAUGCCCCUGAUGACCUGGGCGACACACGUGCUACAAUGGGCGGUACAGAGGGCAGCGAAGCCGCGAGGCGGAGCGAAUCCCAGAAGGCCGCUCUCAGUUCGGAUUGCAGGCUGCAACUCGCCUGCAUGAAGGAGGAAUUGCUAGUAAUCGCGGAUCAGCAUGCCGCGGUGAAUACGUUCCCGGGCCUUGCACACCCCGCCC